CGCACGGGUGAGUAACACGUAUCCAACCUGCCGUCUACUCUUGGACAGCCUUCUGAAAGGAAGAUUAAUACAAGAUGGCAUCAUGAGUCCGCAUGUUCACAUGAUUAAAGGUGUUCCGGUAGACGAUGGGGAUGCGUUCCAUUGGAUAGUAGGCGGGGUAACGGCCCACCUAGUCUUCGAUGGAUAGGGGUUCUGAGAGGAAGGUCCCCCACAUUGGAACUGAGACACGGUCCAA
This 235-nucleotide ribosomal RNA is filed under the name uncultured bacterium. RNAcentral describes it as "partial 16S ribosomal RNA". It matches the Rfam family "Bacterial small subunit ribosomal RNA", at positions 99 to 334 of the family's 1533-position model. The record is from RNAcentral.